GAUAAACGCUGGCGGCGCACAUAAGACAUGCAAGUCGAACGAACUUAACCAUUAGUUUACUAUUGAAGCGGUUAGUGGCGGACUGGUGAGUAACACGUAAGCAACCUGCCUAUCAGAGGGGAACAACAGUUAGAAAUGACUGCUAAUACCGCAUAUGCCUUGAGUAUCACAUGGUACAAAAGGGAAAGGAGCAAUCCGCUGAUAGAUGGGCUUGCGUCUGAUUAGAUAGUUGGUGAGGUAACGGCCCACCAAGUCGACGAUCAGUAGCCGGACUGAGAGGUUGAACGGCCACAUUGGGACUGAGAUACGGCCCAGACUCCUACGGGAGGCAGCAGUCGGGAAUAUUGCGCAAUGGAGGAAACUCUGACGCAGUGACGCCGCGUGCAGGAAGAAGGUUUUCGGAUUGUAAACUGCUUUAGACAGGGAAGAAACAAGACAGUAC
Molecule: ribosomal RNA, 442 nt
Filed under: uncultured bacterium
Lineage: Bacteria
Description: bacterial SSU rRNA
Rfam family: Bacterial small subunit ribosomal RNA
Source: RNAcentral